Molecule: long non-coding RNA, 2928 nt
Organism: Numida meleagris (helmeted guineafowl)
Lineage: Eukaryota; Metazoa; Chordata; Aves; Galliformes; Numididae
Exons: 5
Source: RefSeq, a predicted model, not a curated record
UCUCAGAAACAAUCCUCUUCUGCUCUGUGAAGAAGGCUUCUUUUUAGGAUCUUAAUUUCAAUGCCUGUGUUAAAGAAGAAAAAUUUCUUUAAAAACAAGAGGACAAUAUAUUUUAUUAGUUCUGACUAACCAGAGAGGUCCCAGAUGACUGGAGGCUGAUAAAUGUGACCCUGGUCUAUAAGAAGGUUAUGACGGAGGAUCCAUGGAAUUACAAGUCUGAUGAAAAGGAACUGAAGAUUGAAAGAAAGUACAUAACAAGAAGUGUUUAAGAGGAAACUUCAUUUGCUUCUUCCUUUGAAGCAGCAGGAGAACUUCAUAUUUCAAACACCAGGCAAGGAAAGAAAUGGAUCAUUAAAGAUCAUGGCACAAAUCUAAAGUAAUUUCAGUGGAAAUGGAGGUUUACUGUACCAAGAAAUGCUAGAAGAAGGAACUACCCUGAGACACAUUCAGACACAAACUCGUCUCAAAACAGUUUAUUGGCACAGAGACAAAGAAAGAAUAAAGCCUGCAAGAUGUAUGAAAAUUCUUUAAUUUAUGUAGUAACAGUGGUAUCCCAACAAGUAUACUGCAUCCAGCUGAAGAGGACAGAAGAAUGGGAGCAGCGCAAUCUGAAGAAAAGCUGAGGGAGACACAAAAACUGUUUCCAAGAAUCUGAAAGACCGAUAUAAAAUCAAACAUAAAACCUAUUCCCUCCACCCCAAUGUCUAGUUCUGAAUCAUAGCAUGAAGUAGAAUCGCAUAAUGGCUUGGAAGGGACCUUAAAGAUCAUCCAGUUUCAACCUCUUUGUAAGAGCGGUGCUCCAGACCACUGAUAUUUCUCAAGGCCCUCCUCUGGACACACUCCAGCAGUUCCACAUCUCUUGUGCUGGAGACCUCAGCCCUUGAUACUCCAGAUGGAGCCUUGAGAGGGCAGAACAGAGGGGGGCAAUCACCUCCCUAGCCCUGCUGGCCACCCCUCCUUUGUUGCAGUCUGAGGUACAUUUGACCUUCUGGGCUGCAAGCACAUGCUGCUGGCUCAUGUCCAGCUUUACAUCCACCAGGACCCCUAGGUCCCUCUCCACAGUACAGUUCUCAACAAAUUCUUCUCCAGUCUGUACUCAUUUUGGGGAUUGCCCUGAUUCAGGUGCAGUCCCUUGCAUUUGGGGACACCAUUAAGUUCAGGUGGGUCCACUUCUCAGGUCUCUGGGUAUUUUGUAUUUCCCAAAAUGUGCUCCAAAUCUGAAGUUGAUUGCAGAUGAAGGCAGCAAGCACAAAUUAGAAUGGAAUGUAGUAUUUGUAGACACUUCAAAGUCCAGAAUGCUUAUAAUCAAACAUCUUUCAUUGAUAAACAUGAAUAGAUUAUCAUGUUGAUUCUGUGAGGUAGUUUUUAAAUGUUUGAAUAGUUUAAAAUGUGAAUCAUGCAUAUUGUAUCACUAAAAUCGUUCAGUCCUAUUCAACAUACUAUUGUAGAAAAGUUGUUUCAAGACUCUUUUGACCCUAACAAGUGCAAUAAGUGGGCUUUUGCUUAUGUUUUCUGUCUUAAUUAAAAUUAAGGCCUUCUAAGGACAAAAAGCCAGAAAGAUAUUUAAUUUUAGCAGUAGCUCAUCAGUUAUACUGUAAGAAAAGAUAUGAGGCUGAAUAUCUUCUUCAUAUGUGCUUCAAAAUAAUUCAAAGAAUAAUUUGUAUACUGUAGAGACACUGCAGAAGAGAAAAAUGCUUGGUGUAGAAGAAACUUCUUAGGGAACAGCUUCUCAAUUUCAGAUUUUCAUCCCUGUGAUUUGAGAGAUACCUUCUUUUGUGACAAGAAUUAGACUUCCCUUUUGAUCAUCUUGUUUGAACCAUGCAGUUCUGGAUAUUCAUGUAAAUGGAGUUGUAAUUAAGAGUCAGAGGUGAGAAAGGAGUGGUGUAUGAUGAUUCAGAUAUACCAAGCAUCCCUCAGGAGUACGCACAGCCAUAUGUUACUAUAGAUGACAGCUGGUGAGAGGCAAGUCCCCACUUAUGACACCCAUCUGCAGGUAAAAGCAUGUAGUGUGGUUAAGGACUGUACUUGAAAAUCAAGUAAGGGAUCACACUGUAAACCACAUUCAGAAAUUGCAUAUAUAGUUGAUUUUUUUUUCUUACUUGCAAUAAAACAAGGAAGAAAUAUAUUUCCAAAUGUCAAACUUACUGGAAACAGUGUGUAUGAAACGCUGUGGUCCAAGGAGUACUCAUGGUUAGAACUUCUACCCUGGGGGAAACUGGCAGAAUUGAAUUUACUGAACUGAAUAUUUACAUGUCCAAAGUUGAACAGCUGCAAGAGAACACAGGAGAAAAAUCCUGAAAUAUCCUAUGCCCUGCAGUUUGAGUUUUCUACUUUUCAAAUAAAUACCAGAGGUGAUAGCUGAGUUAAUUUUUUCAAACACUGACAUAAUACAGAAGAAAAAACACUAUACAAAGGGUUUCUUUUUACUUUUUUCUUAAUGUUAUGUAUCAGUAUGCUACAUAAAAAGUUUUAUUUAACUUUACAAGUGAGUUAGUUAGAGAAUAAGGAAUUCAUGAGCCCCACUGGAUUUUGAAUAAAUGUGUCAGUCUGGCAGGUGACAUCAAAAACUAAACAGCAAUGGAGCAAAAAAGCUAGGAUUUUCUUAUCCAUUUCUGACUCUUACUAAAUUGUUUAAAUGAGAUUUUUGUGAAUGCUCUGGCAGUCAGCACAAGAGCUCUCUAAAUAGUGCAGUGAAAUUCUCUAACUGGUGAAUGCAAUCCAGGUUCUAUGAUAAGUAUAUACAAGUCUUCCAUGUCUGAACAUGGAAUAGAAACUGAAUUUCCCCAGCCCAGCUACAAUAUAUUGUUAUUUUGAUUCUGCAAAUUUUUAAAACAAAUUAUCCAUGCUAGAGAAAAGACUUAAAUGGAAAACUCCACAAUUUUCUCUUUCCUUGUAUCUUGCCAGAAUGAUAUUAUUUCAAUGCCAGAG